ACCACCAUUUUCACGAUGGUAACCUCAUUCCCCUUCGCAUUCCUUUCAAGCCUUAUCUCCUCUUUCUGUUUCUUUCAUCUUAUCUUCCGAAAAAAAUUAUAUUUCCUCUUUCCCCAUCACAACCACCAUUUUCACUAUGGUAACCUCUUUCCACUUCGUAUCCCUUUCAAGCCUUAUCUCCUCUUUCUGUUUCUUUCGCAUCCAUAAGCACACAAAUUUUCAAUUACCAUCGGAAACAGUUCAUUUAGGUAGUGUUUUGUUCACCUGAAUUUCACUUAUCUUAUCUUAUCUUAUUGGCCCUGAACCUAUCUUAUCUUAUCUUAUCAUAUCUUAUUGACUCUUAUCUUAUCUAUCCUAUCUGAACUUAUUAACCCUUAUCUUAUCUUAUUAACCCUUAUCUUAUCUUAUCUUAUCUUAUCUUAUUGAAACUUAUAGUAUUACCUUAUAUAAUAUUUACCUUACCUUAUCUUAUCUUAUCUUCACUACUACAAAAGUUGGAAUAAGAGACGCUGAAUAGAGAACGGUCAAGUAUGUUAAACGUUUUCUAGAAGUAUAGAGUACGCAUUUCUCUUAUAACAGUUGUAUGAAGAAAAGAAUAGAGAACUGUCACCUUACCUAACCGUCUUAUAUUAUUUACCAUAAUAAAAACAACUAUUUAAUUAAAAAUACUCGAUAAAAUACAAAGCUGUGUUUAUGAUAACUGUUGGGUAUUCUGGGUUUUAGAAAAAAAAAUCUAAUAAAAAAAAAGUUAAGAAUUUGUAUUAUUAGCGUGCUGCAAUACCCAGUCAACGAAACCUAAAAGCAAGAGUACUAAUUAUUCAAUUGAAACCUAAAGUAAAGUAAUUAUGCGGUAAUCCCCAAUGUACUUCCAAAAGCAAAAGCAAAUUCCAAAAUAAGAAAAAGAAAACUAAGAGCAAACAGAAGGCGAGAUUGAAACCCCGGAAAAUCAAAGGAUCGUCGCGCCUUAACCACCGCCGUCCACCAAUAUCCUCCAUUUACUGCCAACGCCUUUUCCCACCGCCUCCAGAAUUCCGGUGAAAGUCCUGUGUCCCGCCGCUUCCGUCAAUUCCGAGGGAAUACCAUCGCCGCCCUAAGGUAUGCGAGAGGCACUCUAAGACGCCUGUUGUUAUUGUUGCUGGGAAGGAGCAGCGGUUCUGCUAGCAAUGUACCAGGUAAACAAAAAUGAUACUCCUUCCGUCUCAAAAUAAAUGUCUUGAUAGACCAUUGAGUCAUUGACCUUGUUUAAGGUGAGCAGAUAAGAAACCACUCUAUAUAUUAAGUUGUUGGUGUUGAUUGUAGAAAAGUUGGUCUAUAUGAAAAUGUAGGUACAUAGAGUAAUGAAUUUUGAGUGCUGCACUGAUUCUGCUGCAUCACCUUUGGUAUGCUAUAUCUUUGCUUUUUGUUCCUGUCAUAGUAUAUACUGCAAUCCCUUAGGUUUCAGUCCCUUGAAGAGUUUGACGAGGUUAAGAGAAGCUGCAGAAAACGGUUGGAUGUACAUAAUCGACGUAGCAAGAAGAGACAGCCUGAAGCCUUUUACAUGCCUAAUUCUGUUGCUGCCUUUUUUGUCAUCUCAUACAAGUGAUAUAAUCAAUUCUCAUCUAACAAAGAUUUUAUGGCAAUAGCUACAUAUAUAUAUCAUGUUAGGACUUGUUUCUUGAAAAUCUAUAAAAUAUUCAAAAUGCAUUAGAUGUAAUGCUCCAGUAAUGAUCUAGCUAGGUGUUGUCUAAGUUUCUUGUUUUCAAUGAUUUAGAUGUUCAUUGGAGACGGAGCAAAUCUUGUAGGUGAUGCUUUUCCACUUGCAAAGAGAAGGCUCUUGCAUUAUAUUUAUUGAUGAAAUGGAUGCCAUUGGUACUAAGCGGCUUGACAGUGAAGUGUGAGUGGUGACAGGAAAGUGUAACGAACUAUGUUAGAGCUGCUAAAUCAGACAUAUUAUGUAACAACUACUGGGGAGCUUUCCAGGAUGGUUUGGAUUCGAAAAGCUCCUAUUCUCCAACAGAUAUUCGUUCUCUAAUAGUGACUCUUAAUUUUCUUGUUAUUUUGUGCUUUUACCUUGCAAAUUGAUUUGAUUUCCUAAAUCCUGAUUAAUCCAACAAAUAUAUACCUGACACUUUUGAGCAGUGUGAUUUGUUGUGACGAUUCUCUGCAAACAUAAUCAGAUGGUAGUUUAGAAGACUAGACAUGCAUUUAUAUGUUUUUAGUUGACACAGGGUUUUGUUUGAGGUUUAAUCCUUUUAUCUUUAUCUUUUGUUCACUAUAAUGUACUUCGUAUCUUAUAGGACUUGCAAGGACAAUCGACACCAUGCUUUUGCUGGUUGUUCAAUGACCAAAAGAAAUCUGAAGCUGAGAUCAAUGUUGAGUUGCAAAUAUCUGAUGAAGAGGAUGCUCGUGAUGGGCACUUAGGUUGCAAGGGUAGUGGUCUUGGGCAAUCAGUAGUCGUCAACUUGGAUGCUCAUGAAGUCUAACUUGUUUCUACACCGCAGUGGCAAGGCCCAGACAGUGGACGAGGUCUAAAAAGUCUCCUAAAGUUGUCAAGUUUGAGUAAACACUGUAAUUUCAUACGUUUAUUUGACUGUUUCUACUUCAAUAACUGGUAGCUGAUGAAUUUAGAUGUAUCUUUCCUCUCUAAGCAUGUAAUAGUCUAAUUGUAUUCUAGUGGCUCUAUAUAAUAUAUAUCUUAGAUUUUUCU
Spinacia oleracea (spinach) is the source of this 2686-nucleotide long non-coding RNA. RefSeq lists it as uncharacterized. Lineage: Eukaryota; Viridiplantae; Streptophyta; Magnoliopsida; Caryophyllales; Amaranthaceae. The transcript has 5 exons. The record is from RefSeq and is a predicted model, not a curated record.